Molecule: long non-coding RNA, 920 nt
Filed under: Astyanax mexicanus (Mexican tetra)
Lineage: Eukaryota; Metazoa; Chordata; Actinopteri; Characiformes; Acestrorhamphidae
Description: lncRNA (ENSAMXG00005001260.1)
Source: RNAcentral
CAGUUAGUUUAGCUGCGCUGUUCUGUAUUAGUAGUUAUAUAUCAGCCAAGUUUGGCGCUACCUGAGUGAAGUUGGCCGAGUCCAGGCUCUAGCGAUGCACCUCCAGAGACCGGGUUUAACCCCAUCCUAAACCCUCCUGUACCCUACCCCGCCCCCGACACUGCUUUCAAAACCCCCCGAUAAUCCAAAUCCCAGACAGAACUUCAGGAUAUGACGGAAAACUGAAGAUGGCCGUGGCACGCACACCGAUCCGCACGUCCAAUAAACAGGCGCCGGUCCGCUAGAUAGUAACGCCCCGCAGCCGCGCUUUUAUAUAACCCACCCGCAUUCCGGCAGGCCCUGCCCAGUGCGCUGCGAUUGGCUGGUAGCUCAUACGCUCAACGGCUCAUACGCUCUAACGCUCCCUUGCAGGCUAAAAGCUAAAAAUAAACCAAUCAGUGCUGUAGAGUGCUGCAGACUCGAAACUACUGACAAAUCACCGUCCAGGAAUGGCUUAAUCAGAAUACGAGUGGGAUUAGAAAAUCAGCGCGGUAUAUGUGUUCUGCUCAGUGAGCCUAAAGGAGGAUCGCGUAGCACCUCUGUCCUUAAGGGCAGCCAGGAGGCUGCAUCGCACUGCCACUGGCCCGCAUGUUCCGCUGUGCUGGAGCCAGCUUGAGGGUACCAGGCUUCAGGGCUUGAGGUCCCACAUGCGUGACGCACUGGCGCACAGAUAUAUCAACUGAUCGAGUGCCUGCUGAUCAAGUGAAAAAGGAGCUCAUGAGGAAGGCCAGGCCAAUACACAGUAUUUUACAAUGCUGUUCACUUCCCUGCUUCACUAUGUGUUAAGCAGUGUUAAGCACUGCAAUAACUAUAUUACUCCCUUUCAUGUAAUGGUCAAGGAGGUCAUUUUAAAGGACUUGGAACUACUCCCUGUUCAAAAA